Esox lucius (northern pike) is the source of this 1837-nucleotide long non-coding RNA. Lineage: Eukaryota; Metazoa; Chordata; Actinopteri; Esociformes; Esocidae. The record is from Ensembl.
UGUACAUUUUGGCUGUCUGUGGUUUUCCUGUGAACAAGCUCUACAUUUAUUCUACUUCACUAUUGAAACAAACAUGAUGAUAUCCUGCGAAGUCAGACUUACAGUAAGAGUCUCUGGGAAAUGACAUUAUUCAUCCCAGAUAUGGCAGCUGGACAUUUUAUUUUGUUCAUCUUUCUUUUCUAUGCCUUCCAGCCCAUCAAAGCCAAAGACCUUCCUCAGCCCAGUCUGACAGUGAUUCCUACAGUCAUCAGAGAGAGAGGCUCAGUUGAGGUGAUCUGUGCGACUCCUCCACAUCUCUCUGAGGCAAAGUGUUACUUCAAAUUUGAGGGGAGAUUGGAGUUUGCCCUACCAGCAGCCUGUCAGCAGAUACUCAGACUCACAGGAAAUCAUCUGUUACAGUGGACAGGUCAAAGUUCACCUGCUGUGGUCAAAACACAAUGUCAAUACAGUAACACAGGCUUUCAGUUUAGAUCCAUAUUCAGUGAGCCAUCUACAGUCACAAUUCAGGAUCAUCCUCAGCUGACAGUGAUUCCUACAGUCAUCAGAGAGAGAGACUCAGUUCAGCUGAUCUGUGAGACUCCUCCAUCUGUCUAUGUGUCUGACUGUAUCUUCAGUGAAGUGGGGAGAUCUAUUCUGCCAGGCUCAACCUGUAAACAGACGGUCGCAGGAUCUCAGCUGCUCUCUUGGACAGGUCAACCAUUACCAGCUGUGGUCCAGGUCACAUGUCACUACACUGUAGGGAUGUCUCACACAUCUCCUGUCAGUGACCCAGUUUCUGUCACUGUCCAGGGUGAACUACAGAAACCAGAGUCACACUCUGUCUCCCCGCGCAGUGAUGGAUACAAAUUUACAGAUCUGCCGGGAGAUCUCAUGAUCAGUGACCCAACAACUAAACAGACAUCUUCUACAGCAGGUUAUCGAAGGUACAGUCGGACGAUGAACAGGAUAGUAGGGUUGGUAAACAAGCAGGAAUCUGGUACAUGGGAAUACUGGAAUGGAACACAUGGAAUACAGGAGAAAUAAUAACGCGGGAACGACUUGGAAAAAAGCACAAAACAAACUGACAACGGGGACAUGGAAAAGCACAGUGUAUCACAAGGGAUGAUGGGAACAAGGAAGACAUCUGGUGUGGGCGGAGACACAAGGAAGACAGGUUCGACUGUUAGUUCUCAUUUGACCUCCAAAAUAUCUGUGAGGCCAAUUACCAGUUCAACCACUGCUUCUAGCACCCCAGCAACUUCAUCAGGCUGGUCUGUUAGUUCUACUUUGGCAACUGGCAGCCCACAGACUUCAACUGAAAGGAAACUAUUAUGGGUGGCAGCAGUGGGUGUGGCUUCUGGAGUGGGCAUGUUCUUGAUGGGAUUGACAGCUGUCUGUCUCUGCAGGAAGACCAAGAAGAAGUGUUCUCAGAGAUCUCAAGCCCAACAGGAUGAACAUAACCAAGGUCCUGCUGAAGAGAACGGACAAUCAACUGUAAAUAGCAAUUCUGGUACAUACCACAUUUACAGCUCCAUCCGAGACAGACCAGCAACCUCAGCGCAGACAGUUGAGUUGUACAGUCUACUGCAGACGCAAGUCUAACAUAAGUCUUUUAUUCUUUUAUUCACUUUACUUGAAAUUAACACUGACACUUGACUUUUGUUACAUAUCCAUUUUGGUGUGUAACCCAAUAAUAACAAAAAGGAAGAAAAAUCUAAUGUGUGUUCUUGAAUUUGUUUUAAAUAAAUAUAUUGUUUAAUAUACACCCUAGUUCAUUAUAAUAUUUUGCAACAUUAAGAUAUAUAUUUUUUAACAUAAGUGUCAGGAGCAGUAAUACUGGUUGUGAUUGGUGAAUGUG